CUUUGUAAUUAAUACACCAUGUGGCAGAAGAUAUUUUGGAAUAUCUUUAAAAUAGCUGUGUUCCAGGAGCCAGUGAGCAGCCCUGCUGAGAAGAGUUGGCAACAUUAUUGCAUUGUUUGAAACCAUUUGUGCACCCUUGAACUUUAGUCAAUACUUGGGGUUGUCAUUCCUCUUUAGGGUUAUGAACAUUUGAUACCAUGAGUCAUACAAGAUGCUUGUUCCCAGCACCAACAUAACAGGCCAAGGCCCAUCAUGACUUCCAGGAAUGGGUAGUGGGAGGGCUAAAGGGGGAGAGCAGAAUAAUUUUAGACCUUGGCAUAAUUGUAGGGCAAGAGUGAAGAGUUAAAUGACCAACAUAAGGUUUCGAUUUUCUGUUUCUGUUUUUUUCUUUCAUUUGUGAGGGGGCUUCUUCCCUAUUAUUAAAUAUAAUGAAGCAUAAUCCUCAAAUAAAUACCUUUCUGUUAAUAUAGGAGGCAUUUGGUGACCUCGGGAAAUGAAAGUACAUCUUGAUAAAUCAUUCAAGAGUCAAAUGAUAGGCUUCACAAUGGAUACCUCAGACUUUUUUUCUUUGUAAUUAUUCUUUAAAAUGUAGGAAAUUUAUCAAUCACAAAUCACUCAUCAAUCACAAAUCAAGCCCCUAAUUUUUAUUUUCAAGCAUGAAUCAUGUUUGUCAAAGCUCAUUGAUUGUUAACUAAUAGAGACUUCAGCUUUCCCAACGAGGAAAUCCACAUGCCAUAGAUAAAGGGAAGGAGGAGAACAGAACAGAGGUAACCAUGUUUUCUUUUCAGGUGACCUGAAAAGAAGGGGUUCAGUGAUAGAAACUGCGGAGAUUUCGUCUUGGCUUUCAAUGGGUCUCACUAUUUCACUUCACAUCAUAGAUCACACAUAAGGAAAAUGUGUGCUUGGCUGCAGCCGUGGUGGUGAGGAAGAACAGACUAUAAGACAUUGCAGCUGUCAUCUCACUUGACUUAAAUUGGAUCACAAACAAUCUAACACAAGCUCCUUGUUGGAUGAAGAAAAGCAUUUCCACGGGGGCAUUAGUCCAUGGAGCUGAUGCUGUGGGUCAACAGAAGAUUCAACCAAGUUUGUUUGCAAGUAAAGAUUCCAAGGGCCUCCAAGAGUAAGAGAAUAUUCAUGCAAUUUUAAUAUGCCAAAGAGAAGAAGUAAAAUAAUUAGUCGAAAGGAAAAAAGUUGACCUUAAUAUUGAAAAAGAAAUCGAGGAGAACCUGUCACUUAUGGAUGUGAGGACCAUCUGGAUGUGACAUCUGUCAGCCCAUUGAUGGCCAGGAUUGAUUCGGCUGACCUGGUUGGCUAGGCGGGUGUCCCCUUCCUCCCUCACCACUCCAUGUGCAUCCCUCCUGAAGCUGCGUGCUCGGUCGAAGAGGAUGACCUUCUCCUAUAGAGGAGGACCGUUCUUCAGUCAAGGGUAUACGAGUAGCUGUGCUCCCCUGCUAGAACCUCCAAACAAGCUCUCAAGAACCUGUCACUUAGACUGACAUUUUCAUAAGAAGCAAAUAAUAGGAUGGAACUUUCUAGGUUGCAGCUAUUAGGCUAUCGCCUCUGCUGUCCUCCCUGCUCCCAGUGGGAUUGACUUAAUUACCAUGAAGAGGGAAUCAUGGCUUGCGCAUACCAUACUGAAGUCACAGAUUUUGAUGUGCUGAAUGACAGAAACAUGUUCUAUUAAAGCCUGUAUUAAAACUUG
Molecule: non-coding RNA, 1702 nt
Organism: Ictidomys tridecemlineatus (thirteen-lined ground squirrel)
Lineage: Eukaryota; Metazoa; Chordata; Mammalia; Rodentia; Sciuridae
Source: RefSeq, a predicted model, not a curated record